Molecule: ribosomal RNA, 300 nt
Filed under: uncultured Nesterenkonia sp.
Lineage: Bacteria; Bacillati; Actinomycetota; Actinomycetes; Micrococcales; Micrococcaceae
Description: bacterial SSU rRNA
Rfam family: Bacterial small subunit ribosomal RNA
Source: RNAcentral
GCUAACUACGUGCCAGCAGCCGCGGUAAUACGUAGGGCGCGAGCGUUAUCCGGAAUUAUUGGGCGUAAAGAGCUUGUAGGCGGUUUGUCACGUCUGCUGUGAAAGCCCGGGGCUUAACUCCGGGUGUGCAGUGGGUACGGGCAGGCUAGAGUGCAGUAGGGGAGACUGGAAUUCCUGGUGUAGCGGUGAAAUGCGCAGAUAUCAGGAGGAACACCGAUGGCGAAGGCAGGUCUCUGGGCUGUUACUGACGCUGAGAAGCGAAAGCAUGGGUAGCGAACAGGAUUAGAUACCCUGGUAGUC